This 4683-nucleotide long non-coding RNA is filed under the name Homo sapiens (human). RNAcentral's name for it is "KLF3 antisense RNA 1, transcript variant 2 (KLF3-AS1)". Lineage: Eukaryota; Metazoa; Chordata; Mammalia; Primates; Hominidae. The record is from RNAcentral.
ACCUUUCUCCAAACAACGUUGCCACACGCGGAGAGCACGGAGAUUUCUGGGGCUUUGGAGGGAAUCGUGAGCGGGCGGGAGGAGGCCGGGGACCACACAGAGAAUAACUUGUCUGACUACCAGUAUUCUUGGAUGCAGAAGUGCUGAAGAUGAGCACACACACGUACGGAGAAUUUCUGGAGAAUUCAGCUGCUCAGAACAAGAACUGAGAUCCAGAGAGAUGAUGACUUUGCCCAUAGACCAAACAAAGAAAUACAUGUUUCAGUCCUGUGUCCUCCUGCUAUGUGUGUCCGGAAUUGGUGGGUUCUUGGUCUCACUGACUUCAAGAAUGAAGCUGCGGACCCUCGCGGACCGUGUGUGAAUGCCUGCUCUGUGAGCCCUCAGAAUCUACUGGCUGAAUGAGUGCGUGGAGGAAAUGUGCUCAGAGCUGCUGUGUGUCAUCCUGUGUUUGAAGUGCUCCUGCAGCUAUCAUUCAUCCAGUUAAGAAUUUGAAGAAGUGUGUGCACAAAGCUCACAGGAUAUCGGCCAUGUUAAUGAGUCUGAUGUUGCUAGUAUCACAGGCACCGGAAAAUAUGCACAUUAUGCUGGAGCAUUAGAAUGCAACAGAAAGAGCCCUGGGCUUGGAGUAUGCAGAACUGGUUCUUGUUACAACUCCUCUUACUAGUGGGCUCUGGAAGAAAACACAUUGAAUUCAUGAUCAUGGUUAACCUUUGGAGAGAGAGAGGAGACCAGGAUGAAGGAGCCAGUCGAAGAUCCUGUUCAAGUGUACACUGAGCCAGCAGGUUCACCAGAAAGCUAUUGAGCGUUUGCUGGAACACAUUAUGCAGGCCGAACCUCCCGUCUGUAACCUGCACCUGCAGUUCACAGGAUUCAGCUCGGAGAGCUCUGUACUUCCGGGCCACUCAGUGGUUUGAGAUAUGUCUUCUUCGUGAUGCUUGUGUGAGAGUAAAGGAGGACUCCAAACAAACAAAUGCAGGAAAUGAAUGUGUAGAGGAAGAAGUCAGGUGAUGCUGGUGUCCUGGGGACCACUCCACGGAAGGAGAAGACACUGGGAAUAGAAGACCUUUGAAAAUCGUGAUGGGCUUAAAGAUCCCAGCGCAGGUCCCACCACUUAUUCGCUCUCACCUGGCAUCUCAAUCUCUGCAUCUGUAAAAAUGAAGAAAAUAAUCCAUCUCCCUGGAUGACUUCAUGAGAUUUUUUGUAGUCAUCAGUGAGGUACUGUACAUAGACGUGCUGUAAGGACGAAAAGUUCUUCACAAUAGGAUGCAUGGGAAAGCAAGCAGGGAGCAGUGGAGGAGGCUGAACCCAGAACGUGGGCUGAGGAUGCUGGGAGGGAACAGGGUUGGGGGCUGAAUCCUAACAGGAGGAAGCUACUGAGCUGCUUCUGUAAGUUGGGCCUGGAUGGAAACCCUGGAAGCAGUAACUCCAAGAAAGAUUCAAAAGUGGGACAAGAAGAGCAAGAACCAGGAAUGGAAAAACUCCAAGGAACAUGAGUGAAGAGCCUCGAAAAAACAGGACACUCACAGUUCAGGAAACUACCAAGGGUCCAAGGAGAGGCCUUGCUUGGCCGUGGUGUGGUCCUGCAACUCCAGGGCAGACCUAGACUCAUGGGAAAGUCCCUGCUUUGUGAUGAGGCUGAAAGAGGAUGAGUGGGGAGUGGCCGGAAGAAGAAAGGGUGUAACCAGAGACCAGUGUCAACAAGGAAUCUGGCUUGGAACGCUUUUGUCUGCAGCCCUCUUUGGAGCGUGACUUGCUCUUUCAGAGGUCUGUAUUUCUCUACCUGGACUACCCUGAGAGCUAACCCCAGUUAUUGGUCUGGAAGCAACGAAUGAAGGCCGGGGCAGAGCUUGAGGAGGGCAACAUCAUUUUGUCACAGUCGCCAUCAAGAAUCUAGUUGCAGACUGGGCGCUGUGGCUCACGCCUGUAAUCCCUGCACUUUGGGAGCCAAGAUCUGAAGAAGAAAACAGAAGCAACAUUCAAAUUAACAUCAGUCAACUGAUGGAAUAUUUUAGAUGAAGUAAGAGAAGCCAAGGCAUGUACCCUCAGGCUCUGGGCUUCUCCCUGCAAGGUUGGGAAGAAAUUUGGAGGAGGCAAAGUGGGAGCAAGUCAGAUGGAAGAGACAUUAUGGGUCAGAAAUUCAUAGUGUAGUGGGAGGUGGACCAAAAUGCCAUUGACUUGAUUGCCUGACACUGACAGGUGCUGAAAUAGAGGAAUAUACGGGAUGCCAUGGGAGGCCAGAUGAAGUGAAAAACCCACUCUUACUGGUGUGUGUGCACACACAGGAGGAGUUACGCAAUGCCUUGUCUGGUUUCCUGUCCUGGCACAUUUCCAUUGCUUAUUUCUAGAGCCACUUGACCGUAAUAGCUGGUCAGGGAUAAUGUAAAGAAUCUUCAUUUGGCAGCUCUGAGGACUGCCCAGUCAACCUUCCCUUCUGUCCUCAGCACAUAUACCUAGUUUCUUACUCGCUUUUGUGACUCAUCUCCUCUUGUACCCUAGACAUCUUUUCUAUUUUUAUACCUCUUGCACCCUCAAAGAUCCCUUGAGACUCUCUUGCCUAAACCUCUUUUAGGCAAAUCCUACCUCCUUUUCUCUAUACCUGCUUUGAGAGAAGGGGAAAAUGUCUUAAUAUAUGCACUAAUUAGGCCCCUUGAUGGUCUAAUUUCAGCCUUACAUUGUUUCGUUUUGUAAAUGAGCCCCAGGGAAGUUAAGUAAUUUGUCCAAAUUCACACAACUAGAAAAGACAAAAGCAGGACAUUGAAUGUAGAGCCAAUAUUCAGAGUACCUGAUUUUAGACCCAGUAUUCAAAGCACCGACUGCUAUGGUCUGAAUGUGUUCCCUCCAGAUUCAUGUGUUGAAAUCCUAACCCCCAAGUUGAUACUAUUAGGAGGUGGGACCUUUUCAGAUGCGACUGGGUCAUGAGUGUGCAGCCCGCAUGAUUGGGAUUAGUGCCCUGUCAAAUAGGAGAGACUGCAGAGAGCUAGCUAGCUCCUUUUCACCAUGUGAGGGCACAGUGAGACAGCCCUGUCUAUGAGGAAGUGGCUCUCACCAGACACUGUUGGCACCUUGACCUUGGACUUCUCAGCCUCUAGAACUGUCAGAAAUAAAUAAAUUUCUGUUGUUUAUAAGUGACGGAGUCUAAGAUAUUUUGUUAAUAGCAACCUGAAGGGACUAAGACAUUUACCAAAACCUUAAAGGCUCCCAGAUAAUCACCUCUAAAACACUCAGUCACAACAUUUUUCUAUUCAAAGUCUCCAGGGAGAAAAGACAAAGCACUACAAAGACUGCCUUGUAGUAUUACAAUCUCUUCACUUUUUCUAUCAAAUGUCCUGUUCCCCCUGUGCACCUAGAGACUCACAAGGCAUUUAACAUCUCUGCCUUGUGAGCCUAGAGGUACAUGAGGGGCAGAACCUUUGAUAGAAAAAGUAUGUGCAUGCGCACACACAGACAUAUAUAUAUACACACACACGUAUAUUUCUGCUUAGUAGAUACCACCAAACAAUUUUCCAAAGUGAUUGCACCAGUUUACAUUUCCACCAGCAGCAUAGGCAGUAAUUAUCCUCUUCAACAUUUGGUAUUGUCAGUCUUUUGAAUUUUAGCCAUUCUGGUGAGUUUGUAAUAAAAUAUCAUUGAGGCAUUAAUUACAUUUACCUGAUUAUUAAUGAGAAUGAGCACUACUUUAAUAAGUAUAAUAUUUUCCAUAGGUUUUUUGAAGACAUUGUCUCUCAGAUUAGAGAUGGUCAAGGCCAUACAGUUUCUUUUAGCACAGCUUUAGCUACAUCAAACGAAUUUUGAUUUGUCAUAUUUUCAUGAUUAUUCUGUUCAAAAUGUUUUCUAACUUCCCACUGUGAUUUCCUCUCUGAAUCUAUAGGUUUAGUUAGAAGUAAAGUUAGAAGUUAGUUUGAAACUUCCAAACAUAUGGCUACUUUGUGAAUAUAGUUUUGUUAUUGAUUUCUAGCUCAAUUCCCCUGUGGUCAGGUAACAUACUCUGAUUUCAGUUCUUGAAAUUUGUUGAGACUUGCUUAAUGGCCCAGCAUUUUGUAAUUUUGGUGUAUGAACUAAGUGUGUAUUCUGCAGAUGUUGGGUGCAGUAUUCUAUGAAGACCGAUUAAGUCAAGUUUACAAAUGUAUACUCCUGUAAAUGUAAACUGAUUUUUGUCUUAUUAUUCUAUUAGAUCUCAGAGAGAGUAAUAAAAUUUGAAUCUAUGCUAUUAGUUACAUGUAAAUUUAGAAUUGUUGUAUGUUCUUGACAAAUCUAAUUUUCAUCAUCAUGAGGUCACUUUCUUUGUCUUUAGGAAUGCUUUUAACCUUAGUGUCUAGUUUGACAUUAUUGUUAAAUCUUUGAGAAUUCUGAUAUUUUAGUCUUGUGUUUUGUAAGUAGCAUAUCAAAUUCAGUGUUAUUCGAGAUAACAACCUUUGUCUUUUAAUCACUGAAUUUAAAUAUUUACAUGUUAUGUAAUUUGUGAUAUUUUGGGGUUUAAAUCUACCAUUUUGCUCAGCUUUUCAAUUUGUACUGCUUGUUCUAUGUUCCAUUUUUUUCAUUUCUUGCCUUCAUUUGCAUUGAUUGAAAAUUUUUAAAAGUUAUUUGAGUCCUAUAAAUUCUUGUGGUGAUUACACCAAAUAUUGCAAUAUGUAUAUCUGACAUAAAAAUAAAAUAUCAUUUGGUUGUUUUUUCUCUUCUGGGGAA